CCUACGGGAGGCUGCAGUGGGGAAUAUUGGACAAUGGGCGAAAGCCUGAUCCAGCCAUGCCGCGUGUGUGAAGAAGGCCUUCGGGUUGUAAAGCACUUUCAGUGGGGAAGAAAGCCUUGGGGCUAAUACCCUCGAGGAAGGACAUCACCCACAGAAGAAGCACCGGCUAACUCCGUGCCAGCAGCCGCGGUAAUACGGAGGGUGCGAGCGUUAAUCGGAAUUACUGGGCGUAAAGCGCGCGUAGGCGGUCUGAUAAGCCGGUUGUGAAAGCCCCGGGCUCAACCUGGGAACGGCAUCCGGAACUGUCAGGCUAGAGUGCAGGAGAGGAAGGUAGAAUUCCCGGUGGAGCGGUGAAAUGCGUAGAGAUCGGGAGGAAUACCAGUGGCGAAGGCGGCCUUCUGGACUGACACUGACGCUGAGGUGCGAAAGCGUGGGUAGCAAACAGGAUUAGAUACCCCAGUAGUC
RNAcentral lists this ribosomal RNA (465 nucleotides) under Vreelandella stevensii. RNAcentral's name for it is "partial 16S ribosomal RNA". It matches the Rfam family "Bacterial small subunit ribosomal RNA", at positions 338 to 795 of the family's 1533-position model. Lineage: Bacteria; Pseudomonadati; Pseudomonadota; Gammaproteobacteria; Oceanospirillales; Halomonadaceae. The record is from RNAcentral.